Molecule: RNA transcript, 3447 nt
Organism: Triticum aestivum (bread wheat)
Lineage: Eukaryota; Viridiplantae; Streptophyta; Magnoliopsida; Poales; Poaceae
Exons: 4
Source: RefSeq, a predicted model, not a curated record
AGAAUAGUGAAAAAGACCCUGCGCCCACUCCGCCCCGUUCUCCUCCCCGCUCCCUCCAUCCUCUCCCAUGGCGCCGCCCCUCUUCUCCCCACUCGCCUCGGCCGCGUCUUCUCCUCCCCCGCGUCGUCGGCCCCUCCCUCCUCCUCCCCCCUCUCUCCUUCGUCAUCACACGGUUCUUCCGGCCAGUGUCGGGGUGCAGUUGACGGCGGCCUUAGCGGGUGGGCGAUGGCGGCCGCAGCUGAUGCACAAGCUCGCAUCGCCCUGGCGCCGAUCUCGCGCGGCUCCUGCGCCUCGCCACCCUCUUCUCCCCAGCUCAGCAGGAGGUUUGCGAGGCCACCACUUGGGCCGCUGCUGCCUCUUCCACCCAGCAGGAGGAGCACGAGGUGAGCAGCAACAACGGGGACAGGCGACCUCGGGGAGAGUUUGCGGAGGGGCGCAUAUCAGAUCCUUUCUGAUCCGAUGGUGUCAAUCGAGCCACAAAGGGGAAGUGAGUUGGAGAUGAGAUGGGGACAGAAGGUCCUGCUCGGCUGGUUCCAAGACCGUGAGGGAAAGGACUUCCUGUUGUCCGCCGGAGGGGAAAGAGCAGAGAUCCGAGAGACGAAGCAACCAGAGGAGACGGAAAACACGACCCCUGUCCUAUGUACCGGCCACAUCCCCCACAGCUUCUGCGAGGACCAGAUGCAAGCAGCUUGGGGUUAUUAAGAAGAGGGUCAGUAUUGCCCAGAACCGCAAGGUACUCUAUACUGUGUUACAAGAUAUCUGGUGAUUUGUGUGUGUUUUCUGCAAGCAUCUAACUUGUUGUUUGGUGAUACAUAUGUAGACAGGGAAGUCUAAGCAUUCCGACAGUUAGAAAUACAUUUAUUCCAGUUGCAACAAAACUGUACAUAAUGAUGAAUGAAUAUUAACUAAGUCAUUCACACAAACAAAAAAGUAUUGCAGUUAGAGUGAAUAUCCAAUUAUCAGUUCAUGAAGUGAGACAGAUAAAAAACUGAUUCUUAAACAUGAACAAACAGAUAGAAUCUCGGCAUCUCGCACAACUGCGACACCUUCGCCUUAUUGUUGUUACCUAUUCUUCGUCCUUUCUCAUUAUGCCCCUUGAUUCUCUUUAUCCUACCCCUAGAUCGAAUAUCAUUUGGCGGGUGGAUGUUAACUUCAUUAGUAAUGGUGCAGCCAAGAAAUUCUUCAAACUCUUGUAGUACAGUUUGUUGUUUUGCUGGGACAUUCAGUUUGUUGCUUUCCAUCUCUAGAGAAUUGCACAUCUCCUGACUGUUUAGCCUGAAUUUGCACAUUGAGGAUAUAACAGCUCCCCUUCUCAUUCCAUCUUUAAUACAGAACCUACUCGACAGAACAAAGUCGAGGGAAGAAGUAUGCGAGCUCCGUGAUGACUAACUGAUGAAAAUCACAUUUGAGUGGCCCAGUCGUUUGAUCUACUCCAUUGCCACUGUUCCCCUCGUCACAUCUCUGGCUCUCAGAUUGAGUAACCUAUACCAACGUCUACUGCAAACCUACUAGACAGGAUAAAAUCGAGGAAUAAGUAUAUAUAACUCAUGGGUUAAUCAAGGUGAAUAGAUGAUUUACCUACCUGCAAUCAGCUCUGAAUCAGUUUUUUACCUUUUCUUUUCUGUAGGAAGAUAAGAACAAUAUCCAGUUGGAUCCUCUUCUUUUGUACUAGCUUCUGAGGAGCCAAAAUUAGUACACAACAAUGUCUUUUCAGUUUCGUAGAUUUGGUCAUGAUGACAUCGUAGCGCAUGCAAGGGUGCUUGUGCAACUAUAAGUCAAACUACAAAAAUGUACCUUUCUUUGCUUACUUUCGGGUAUGAAUAGCUCAGCUAAUUUUGGGUGAUUCAGAUUACAGUAUCCAGAUUUAUUGGCUCUAUUUUUAUGCAUCUGAAUUUUUGAUGUGCAAAAAUGUUCCUCAAAAGACAUGAGUUGUUGAGCAUCCUGCUUUGUAGUAGGCUUGAUAAUAUUCCAUUUUUUGGAGUACCCUGCUUUAGAUUUUUCUUGUGUGCCUUGUGCAGCCUUUUCAUUCUAGGCAUCAUUUCCCAUUUGUUUGGGAUCCAAUUCUAAAAAUGCUUGGUAGCGUCUGUUUGGCCUUCUAUUAAUCUCCAGAUGAUAGGUGAGGCAUGCAAGUUCAUUCUCUGGUUUCUUAUGAUGCUUGUAAAACCUACUGCCUAUUAGGAUACCUGAUGAAAUGUGCGCACACUUACAAUUUCGGUUGUUGUGGAGUUAAAUCCUAAAUCAAUUUGAUCAGAUGGAUAUAAAAAAUAGCUUUCAGGCAAGCAGACUAUUCUUUAUUUUAGUACAUAAUAGUAUAGCUAAUUAGCUAUAUACAGUGAGUGCAAAAGCUAUUUGUUCGCCACUUAAGCUUAUAUUCUUCUAUUUUCUUUAGCUGUCAUCCUUUUAUGUUUUCUUUAUGCAAUUGUUGGUUGAUCAAGCUGAGGACUUAUCUGUAGUGCUUGGUUUGUUGUAACAUGUUUCAUUUUGCUAAUAAUAGUACACGUGUGUGUGAUUGCUUCAUCAAUUUUUAGAAACAUUUGUUGCCCAGUAGCUUCCAAAUAGCAGUUUAGCUUUCUUAGAUGGAAUUUAUCUAGAAUUUCACAUCUCCUACACUUAUACCUUUUAACAACUUUUAUGGAAUAUGACUCUCCAAAUUUUGUGCUUGCUCUGAACACUCAAUUUGUUCCUUGCUGUUGUGUGCCAUUGCUGUCAUGUUUACUCCAGAAAAAAUGGAAGAACUAUGGAUCAACCAUUUUCAUGGGAUAUUAGAAGUUUUAUGUUGUGAUGUCUUUGAUUUUUGUCUCUCUUCCAGGUUUACAUAAGAGAACCCUUGGUAAGCACUCAAGAAUUUUGUUUUCUGCGCUAUUGACAGCAUUUUUUUUUAAUUUUUAGAAUGAUUCUGAAACUAGGUCACUCCUACUGAUUUUCUCUGGCAGGAUGCUAGGUCAAGGAUGCAGGGUGCGUGAACACUAUGAACGCUUUUAUGUCUCCAGGGAGCAAGGGCUUUGACUCUGUGUUCACGCUGGUGUGAGCUUAGGUUGUUUGAUCGAUCAUUAUCUUGUAAAUACUCCUCGUUGUAAUAUAUAUGCAAUCCUACUACAUGGUUUGAAAAAAAAAUGAUUCUGAAACUGGGGUUUAGAGCAGUGUACGUGUUGGCCACAACUAAAUCUGAUAAUACAUAGAUUUUUUUUCAAAAUACACAUGGGUUUAGCGGGCCUCUGUGACAUUUGGUGCAACUGGCCUCGACGCUGCCACUUGGAUCCCGCUUACAUUAGCCUUGCGCGUCAUGAUGGUGUCCCUUACCAUAAAUACUUGUCAUGUGGAUUCAAUAGAAAUGAUGUUUUAGGCAUGUUUGAUAGUUAUGAAACUAUUUGGUAUUAGUUUGACGGCUUAAUUUGAAGAGAAAUAAAGUCCAUACUUUAUGCUUCCUAAUUUUUCUUUUAUUGUUUU